UAACGCAUAGGAAUCUACCCAGUCGUGGGGGAUAACCUGAGGAAACUCAGGCUAAUACCGCAUACGUCCUACGGGAGAAAGCGGGGGCUCUUCGGACCUCGCGCGAUUGGAUGAGCCUAUGUCGGAUUAGCUAGUUGGUAAGGUAAUGGCUUACCAAGGCAACGAUCCGUAGCUGGUCUGAGAGGAUGAUCAGCCACACCGGGACUGAGACACGGCCCGGACUCCUACGGGAGGCAGCAGUGGGGAAUAUUGGACAAUGGGCGAAAGCCUGAUCCAGCCAUGCCGCGUGUGUGAAGAAGGCUUUCGGGUUGUAAAGCACUUUCAGCGAGGAAGAAAGCGUGCCGUUUAAUACACGGUACGGACGACAUCACUCGCAGAAGAAGCACCGGCUAACUCCGUGCCAGCAGCCGCGGUAAUACGGAGGGUGCAAGCGUUAAUCGGAAUUACUGGGCGUAAAGCGCGCGUAGGCGGCGUGUCACGCCGGGUGUGAAAGCCCCGGGCUCAACCUGGGAACGGCAUCCGGAACGGGCAGGCUAGAGUGCAGGAGAGGAAGGUAGAAU
RNAcentral lists this ribosomal RNA (560 nucleotides) under Chromohalobacter sp. NH89-82. RNAcentral's name for it is "bacterial SSU rRNA". It matches the Rfam family "Bacterial small subunit ribosomal RNA", at positions 111 to 667 of the family's 1533-position model. The record is from RNAcentral. Lineage: Bacteria; Pseudomonadati; Pseudomonadota; Gammaproteobacteria; Oceanospirillales; Halomonadaceae.